This 604-nucleotide ribosomal RNA is filed under the name uncultured Gammaproteobacteria bacterium. RNAcentral describes it as "partial 16S ribosomal RNA". The record is from RNAcentral. Lineage: Bacteria; Pseudomonadati; Pseudomonadota; Gammaproteobacteria.
CGCGUUGGGAGCUCUCCCAUAUGGUCGACCUGCAGGCGGCCGCGAAUUCACUAGUGAUUCGUAUUACCGCGGCUGCUGGCACAGAGUUAGCCGGUGCUUAUUCUGUCGGUAACGUCAAAACAGCAAAGUAUUAAUUUACUGCCCUUCCUCCCAACUUAAAGUGCUUUACAAUCCGAAGACCUUCUUCACACACGCGGCAUGGCUGGAUCAGGCUUUCGCCCAUUGUCCAAUAUUCCCCACUGCUGCCUCCCGUAGGAGUCUGGACCGUGUCUCAGUUCCAGUGUGACUGAUCAUCCUCUCAGACCAGUUACGGAUCGUCGCCUUGGUGAGCCAUUACCCCACCAACUAGCUAAUCCGACCUAGGCUCAUCUGAUAGCGCAAGGCCCGAAGGUCCCCUGCUUUCUCCCGUAGGACGUAUGCGGUAUUAGCGUCCGUUUCCGAACGUUAUCCCCCACUACCAGGCAGAUUCCUAGGCAUUACUCACCCGUCCGCCGCUCUCAAGAGAAGCAAGCUUCUCUCUACCGCUCGACUUGCAUGUGUUAGGCCUGCCGCCAGCGUUCAAUCUGAGCCAUGAUCAAACUCUAAUCGAAUUCCCGCGGCCGCC